UACGUAGGUGGCAAGCGUUGUCCGGAAUUACUGGGUGUAAAGGGAGCGCAGGCGGGGAAGCAAGUCGGCUGUGAAAUGCAUAGGCUUAACCUAUGAAUUGCAGUUGAAACUGUUUUUCUUGAGUGGAGUAGAGGUAGGCGGAAUUCCGAGUGUAGCGGUGAAAUGCGUAGAUAUUCGGAGGAACACCAGUGGCGAAGGCGGCCUACUGGGCUCUAACUGACGCUGAGGCUCGAAAGUGUGGGGAGCAAACAGGAUUAGAUACC
RNAcentral lists this ribosomal RNA (263 nucleotides) under uncultured bacterium. Its description in RNAcentral is "partial 16S ribosomal RNA". It matches the Rfam family "Bacterial small subunit ribosomal RNA", at positions 524 to 786 of the family's 1533-position model. The record is from RNAcentral.